This 271-nucleotide long non-coding RNA is filed under the name Mytilus galloprovincialis (Mediterranean mussel). The record is from RNAcentral. Lineage: Eukaryota; Metazoa; Mollusca; Bivalvia; Mytilida; Mytilidae.
GGGGGGGGGGGCUAGGAUGAAAAAUUUUGUCCUGCAUUUUUUUUUAGCUGUAAUCUCUGUCCUGCCUUUUUAUUUUUCACUCUAUUCGGUCCUGCCUUUUUUUUUUUUUAGUUUAUCCCGACUUUUUUUUACCUAAAUUGUCGUCCUGACUUUUUUUUUUUGGCAAUUCUCUCAUCCUGCCUUUUUCUUUUACUCAAAACUCCUGUCCUGCCUAUUUUUUUCAAAUUUCAUCCUAGCCCCCCCAUAAAAAUCAAAUGGUAGCUCCCUUACA